RNAcentral lists this transfer RNA (71 nucleotides) under Loxodonta africana (African savanna elephant). It matches the Rfam family "tRNA". From Rfam's summary of the family: Transfer RNA (tRNA) molecules are approximately 80 nucleotides in length. Their secondary structure includes four short double-helical elements and three loops (D, anti-codon, and T loops). Lineage: Eukaryota; Metazoa; Chordata; Mammalia; Proboscidea; Elephantidae. The record is from Rfam by way of RNAcentral.
GCUUCGGUGGUUUAGUGGUAGAAUUCUCGCUUUCCACGUGGGAGACCGGGGUUUGAUUCCCAGCCAAUGCG